Molecule: ribosomal RNA, 397 nt
Filed under: uncultured bacterium
Lineage: Bacteria
Description: partial 16S ribosomal RNA
Rfam family: Bacterial small subunit ribosomal RNA
Source: RNAcentral
AAUAUUGCACAAUGGAGGGAACUCUGAUGCAGCGACGCCGCGUGAAGGAAGAAGGNUUNNGGAUCNUNAACUUCUAUCAGCAGNNNNNAAAAUGACGGUCCCUGACUAAGAAGCCCCGGCUAACUACGUGCCAGCAGCCGCGGUAAUACGUAGGGGGCAAGCGUUAUCCGGAAUUACUGGGUGUAAAGGGUGCGUAGGCGGUAAUGAAAGUCAGGUGUGAAAGCCCGAAGCUCAACUUCGGGAUUGCACUUGAGACUUCAUAACUAGAGUACAGGAGAGGUGAGUGGAAUUCCUAGUGUAGCGGUGAAAUGCGUAGAUAUUAGGAGGAACACCAGUGGCGAAGGCGACUCUCUGGUCUAUAACUGACGCUGAGGUGCGAAAGCGUGGGGAGCAAACA